This is a long non-coding RNA of Crotalus tigris (Tiger rattlesnake), 4625 nucleotides long. RefSeq lists it as uncharacterized. The record is from RefSeq and is a predicted model, not a curated record. Lineage: Eukaryota; Metazoa; Chordata; Lepidosauria; Squamata; Viperidae. The transcript has 3 exons.
CUGCCUUUGAAAGGUCGCCCAAGCAAAUGCCUGGUUAAAUAGGUUGCGCUCUGCGUCUUCUAAACUUGCCGGCUUUUUCCCUCUCGCUUCAUUAGAACGUGUCAGUUUGAGAAAAUUCUGCCUUUGUCUCUGAGGGUAAAAAUGGUCGGCUUCGAAGCGCACUAAGCAUAUUCUGGCAGGCAUAGCACAGGACAGCUAUACAAAGAAUAGCUUUCUUUUUUCUGCAUCUGUGAGGAGACCACGUUGGAAAGCGUUAGGCCUAAAAGGAAAGAAUGACGUAGAGGGAGUCUUAGCAUCUUUUUUACAUUGCGAUGACCUUGUGAAAGUGUCCAAAUGGAGGUUGGGGAUGAUGAUGGAAAAGGCCCUUCUGGUUCCCACUAGAUAUACCUCCUAAGGACCUGCAACAUUCCUUGCCUCCCCGCUUUAAGUAUCAGCAACGGCAUCUUGAUGUUUGAUCCAACAUUCAGGAACUAUGUAUCCACCCAGUCACUGGAUACAAGAUGGGAGGCUCAAUGCAAGAAAACAGUAAUGGUCCAGAAAGAAUAAGUGAGCAAGAGCUUAAUGUGACAUGCCUCAAAUAAAGCCUCAUGCAAUGUUCCAAAGGAAUUGUAAGUAUUGAUAUAUCUGUUGCUUGAAACUGUGUGGCAAUAGCAACACUGCCUAUGUAUAAAUUGCCAUUUACAGCAGAUCUCCCUAAUCAUGUUUACACAUUUUAAAUGUAUUUGCAAACUGGCCACUUAAAAUAGGAACAAGGGAAAUUAAUUUGUCACAUUAUAAUCCCUCCAGAAUGUGGAUGAUGACCUCUUCCCCCUUCUCUUUCAGCUAUUAAAAUCUGAAAGUCGAGCCUUCCUGCAGUUUUUCACUUUGGAAAAGAUAUGCUAAUCCAGAUUCCAUGUGAGAAUAAUAAAAUGUGAUCUUGGACUUUAAAGAUACAUCAGUUUCAAAUGAACCACUAGCGCAGGGGUAGGCAACCUUGGCUCUUUUAUGACUCGUGGACUUCAACUCCCAGAAUUCCUGAGUCAGCCAUGCUGACUCAGGAAUUCUGGUAGUUGAAGUCCACGAGUCAUAAAAGAACCAAGGUUGCCUACCACUGCAGUAGCGGAACUAUUUUGAAAAAAAGGGCUAAAAAAUUUUAAGCCGUAACAUUCAUUUCUGUAAGAUAUUUGAAGAGUUCCUGCAAAUUUUCAACAUUCAGAAGAAAAGGUUAAGAGCAAGAAUUUAUCUGUAAAAUCACACUUCUUACCCCAAUAGACAGCAAUAAUUUCUUUUGCAUUGUUCUUGAAGUUUCUAAAAUAAUAUAUAGUUCAGAACAAUUUUUAAAGAUUAUCGUUGGUUAUACAAUUUCACGCAUUCUUAAUCUGCAUACAAAGGUAAUCUCUUCCAAUUAUUAAAUAUAAGUUUAUCCAUUAAAUGCAGAAUCAAAUCUAGCAAUAGCACUUAGACUUAUAUACUGCUUCACAGUGCUUUACAGCCCUCUCUAAGUGGUUUAGAGUCAGCAUGUUACCCCCAACAAUCUGGGUCCCCAUUUUAUCCACCUGAGAAGGAUGGAAGGCUGAGUCAACCUGGAGCCAGUGAGAAUAAAACUGUCAAACUGCAGGCAGCUGGCAGAAGUAGCCUGCAAUACUGCAUUCUGACCAUUGCGCCAUCACGGCUCUAUCUAAGAUCUAUCUAAAUCUAAGUCAUGUUUUCAAUACUAAUUGACUUAGGUUACUUGUAAACAUUUAAACUACAAUUCUGUUGACAUCACAAUCAACAAUAUAGUUUGUGUAAAUAACAAUGUUGAUUGUGAUGUCAACAGACUUGUAGUUCAAAUGUUUACAAGUAACCUAAGUCAAUGGCUCUGACUAGACUUGAUACUUUUGAUUACUGGAUACUUCCCAAGGAUCUAGGAUAUUGUUCAAUAGAAGUUACUGUUCCAAGUAAUGCUACUUUUUUUGUGUAAUUGAUGAGCUGAUUCUGUCCCUUCAUAUUAUAUUUGAUCACUUUCUCACAUCUUUUGUUAUAACACCAAGCACACCAACCACUAUUGCCUCUGCCACCACUACUCUUUUUUCCACAUUUGCUUGUCCACUUGAAGGUGUUUUAUAUUUAUGAGUUUUUCUAGUUUUUUUCUCACUGACCAUCUGCAGCUACUGCUUAUUAUCCAUACUUGUUUCUUUGUAACUGUACUCAUCCCUGGCUUAUUAUGGACUAAAUGAUGAUGAUUUUCCUCUUGAAGCUUACAUUAUGUUAUAUAUUCUACUUCAUAUAUAACAUAAUGAGUAGGAAUUCUAUUCAGAAUCUUAAGACCUUAGUCCAGAUUAUUGAUUUGUAAGAUGUGUAAGGCCCCUCAACUCAUAAAUAGUAAAAGCAUAGAGUAAAAAUCACCCAUGAAACAAAACAUAGACAAUAUAUAAAUACAAACAUAAAAUGGCUAUACAACAAAACAAUCAUAGGGGGACUCCCAUUCAACUGUCCUUGAAUGCAUGGUGGGAGAGCAAAAUCUUAAAAUGAUUUUCAUAAAGGUUAAUGAGUGGGGCCUGAUGUAUAUCGAGGAAGAGAUUGCUAUAAUAAUCUGAUCCAGAAUAAGAGAAAUUACAAGACCCUCUGUUGUAUAAUGAAUAUAGUCCUGGAGUGGGGAGACCCUGUAAAGCUCAAUGUCUGGACUUGGGCCAGUUGCCAUCUCUUAAUCUUAAUAUGCUUCAGAGCCUUAUUGUAAAAGUUAUAAAAAGUUAUUGAAGGCAGAAUAAAAGUUUGUACAUUUAGUACCUUGGUAGGAUAGUGCUAGGAAACGCAAUAAUUAAUUUUACUAGAAUAACAUUGUAUAUUAAACUUGCUUCCUUAAUCAACCCCUUAAAUCAUCAGAAGUAUACAACAAAACAGUGAAGGAUGAACAGAUUUAUCUCCAUUUACUUACUGGCAUUCCACGCUUAACAAGUUGACCUAGUAUGUGGGGUGCAAGCCACAGCAUCUCAUGAUGUUGUAAUUUUGUUUUGCUAUCAUUAUUAUAUUAUUAUAAUUUGUAAGUUAUUUUGAAUUUUCUGGAUUGAGCAGGAUAUAAAUAUUUAUUAAUGAAUAUAUUUUAUACAGACAUAAGUAAGACAACUGUACAAUUAAACCAUGUAAUUCCUAGUUACCUUUGAUGCAAACAGACAAAUUACAAUUUAGUUAUAUUUCUAAGUUAUAUUUCUUAGUUAUAAACUAAUAUUUAAUUUAUGCUAUCCUACAUCUGAUAAUUUCUAUCAUUGGUUACCAUGUGCUAUUUUGAUCACCUCAGGUUGCUAGCUGGGAACCUAAAUUCUGAUUGGUGUUGAAAUUAGGUGACUAUGAAUUCUAAUACUGAGUUAUGCAUAAAGCCAGCUAGGAGACUUUGGGCCAGUCAUUCUCUCUUAGCCCUAGGAAUAGGUCCAUGGCAAAUGAUUUUUCAAAAACAUUGCUAUGAAAACUGCAGACUUAUCCAUGUACAUGCCACGAGUCAAAGCACAAAAAGAAAGUGGUUAGUAAAGCACUGUAGUAGGUUUAGAAACAUUUCAUAAUUUAGGGGAUCGUACAUUCACAAGAAAUGAUUUCUAAUAUUGCCAUUUAUUUCUACUGAAGUAUAUUUUUUCUUGUUUUUGCAAAGUAUUUCACAUCUCCUAUCCACACUGAUCUUGUAUGAUGGAACCAAUAUAUUUAAAAUUCAAAACAAAUUUACUUUUAAAAUGGAAAGUGUACAAUUCUUUGCAAUGUUUAAGCAGUUUCUUCUCUUAAGAAGCUGAUCAGAUGAAUUUGAAAGAUGAAAAACUUAAGGAAGAUUUUCAUCAGCUUUAUCUCAACCACAGAAUCCAAACACUACUUAUAGAAGUAGACAGAAAAAAGACACAGAAAAAAUAUUUAUCAUGUCGCAGAUCAUCAUGGGUUUAUUUUAGAUUUACAGAUAAAAUCUUUUAGAUAAAUCCAUGCAAGCAUUACUGCGUUUCUUGACAAGUUGUAUAACUGAAAACCUUCACAAAACAGUAUUUUUGUAGCUCAGGGAUUCAUUCAGGCAUGUAAUGACUGGUUAUAUGAUGGGAAUCCAAUCCAGAGAGCAAAGUUCAGAUCUUCCAUUUCUUCUGAGUUAGGCAGCUGCUAAACAAUUUAACACAAACAGUUACUGUACCACAACGUAGUAAAAUAAAAUGUGAUUUUUAAAUCAUGCAAGUGACCUCAAUAUGCAGAGUCCAAUUGAUGGGCCAUAGCCUUACCAAAGAUUUUCUUUCUCCAAAAGUGAGUCGAUAGAUAUUUCUCCUUUGCUCAGUGAGAUGGCAUCCACACAGGAUUUUAUACAAUAUGGCAUCAGUCUUGAUUACAGGUGUAGUUCAACAAGAUAAUAACAAGUAAAAAAUUGCAGAACAAUCUUCUGCAUGAUGAAAAAUGCAGAACACUUUUCAUGCAUUUUACAUUUUGUGCAAUGAAACAUGCAAAUUGUUUCAAAGAAACUUUCUGCUUAAAUGGUUCAGCAAGAGCCUUCUUUUUUUCUCAAGUCCUGAACACAUGUCCUUGCACUUGUCAGUGUUGCACUUGGAAUGUUAUUUACAAAAGCUGUAUAAAUCAGAAACCAUAAAAAGUCAAAGAAAAAUGUAAAAAGUACAGUCACAGUUUAACAGAAAUAAUAAUUAAAAAAAAAA